This 89-nucleotide non-coding RNA is filed under the name Providencia alcalifaciens RIMD 1656011. The record is from RNAcentral. Lineage: Bacteria; Pseudomonadati; Pseudomonadota; Gammaproteobacteria; Enterobacterales; Morganellaceae.
UACUUAGCUUUUGCAGACAAGGCAUGACAUUGCUCACAUUGCUUCCAGUGUUUUAUUUGUAUAGCCAGCUCGGGUGCUGGCUUUUUUUU